This 217-nucleotide ribosomal RNA is filed under the name uncultured bacterium. RNAcentral describes it as "partial 16S ribosomal RNA". It matches the Rfam family "Bacterial small subunit ribosomal RNA", at positions 328 to 539 of the family's 1533-position model. The record is from RNAcentral.
ACGCUCGACACCUACGGGAGCAGCAGUGAGGAAUAUUGGUCAAUGGGCGCUAGCCUGAACCAGCCAAGUAGCGUGAAGGAUGAAGGCUCUAUGGGUCGUAAACUUCUUUUAUAUAAGAAUAAAGUGCAGUAUGUAUACUGUUUUGUAUGUAUUAUAUGAAUAAGGAUCGGCUAACUCCGUGCCAGCAGCCACGGUAAUCUGAGCGGGCUGGCAAGGC